RNAcentral lists this microRNA precursor (86 nucleotides) under Solanum tuberosum (potato). Its description in RNAcentral is "MIR8024 microRNA precursor family". It matches the Rfam family "MIR8024 microRNA precursor family". Lineage: Eukaryota; Viridiplantae; Streptophyta; Magnoliopsida; Solanales; Solanaceae. The record is from Rfam by way of RNAcentral.
CUAAAGAAUUUGAAGACCGCAACUUGUAGACUUGAAGAAUUUGAAGACUUCAACUUGCAAACAUGAUUGAUUUGAAGACCUCAACU